Molecule: long non-coding RNA, 480 nt
Organism: Mastomys coucha (southern multimammate mouse)
Lineage: Eukaryota; Metazoa; Chordata; Mammalia; Rodentia; Muridae
Exons: 2
Source: RefSeq, a predicted model, not a curated record
CUGUAGAUCCAGACUUAGAACUCUCAGCUCCUUCUCCAGCACCAUGUCUGCUUGCAUACUGCCUUGCCUCCUGCCAUGACGACAAGGGAUUAAACGUCUGAAACUAUAAGUGUAGAUCUUGCUUCUCAUCCAAGAAGCUUCCUUUGGGUGAAGAACCAGACCAUUAUGGAAAGCCACAGCUAAUCUAAAUGCAGAGAAUAACUGAGUACAGAUACCCAGCCCCGACUGAUACAACAUAAUUGCUGCACCAAAGACUCAGGACAUCACUGAAGAGAGGACAGAAAGGCUGUAAGAGCCAGAGGACCAGAAAGUCUGCUGUGAGAUUGUGCCUUCUUGCAAUGACAGAGAGCUCCACCCAUGAAAUCUCAACCCUGUGGCUGCCUAAAGUAGACCUGACAAUUCCAACAACAGCUGACAUGUCAACAUACCAACAUGUCAACAACAGUCGACAGUUACCAACAUAAACAGGACAAUGUUGAG